Long non-coding RNA from Oryzias latipes (Japanese medaka), 655 nucleotides. RefSeq lists it as uncharacterized. NCBI's taxonomy places the organism in Eukaryota, Metazoa, Chordata, Actinopteri, Beloniformes, Adrianichthyidae. The record is from RefSeq and is a predicted model, not a curated record.
UGACAUCUGGCUCAAAUCUGCACAGCUGGAUAGCUCCAAAAUGCUUCAAUUUGUGGUACAUCAAGAAUUAUGCUGUACUUGGAUUUCAUUCAUGUCUUUCUUUUGUUUGGCUCUUUGCCACAGACUUUUGGGGGUGUCAGAUGAUUGGUUUGACUUCAUGUUGAAUCCCCUCCAGCAUUGACCGCCUGCAUUCACCCAUACUUGGGAGCACCAGACGAUAGCACUGGAGUGUGCCCAUUUGUGGUGGCAUUGUCAUGGUGCCUGGCAGUCCACCUCCCCCUCCCACAGCUCUCCUUCACCGCUGAUUGGAACCAGCUGAUCUUCAUCUCCUCAUCACCCUGCCGGCCUUCAUAAGGGAGCUUCUCACCAGUAUCCAGCGCCAGUCCGUUAUACUCACUCCGGUUUUCAUCCAUUGGUCACGCUGGUUCCACGCUGAUCCCGCCGUCCUCGGCGUCCACGCCUCACCUCAAGCUGGUCCCGCUGUCCUCAGCGUCCAAACCUCGCUCCCUCUGGCUCCACGGUCCGACGCGUCCACGCGUCGCCCCCUCACCCUCAUCAGCUCAAAGAACAUCAGGAUCAUUCCAUGGAGGAAAUAACUUCCACGUUCCCUCAGAAACUGUAUUUACCGUUGGUAAAAUAAACCUUUUCAAAUUCA